Molecule: ribosomal RNA, 253 nt
Filed under: uncultured bacterium
Lineage: Bacteria
Description: partial 16S ribosomal RNA
Rfam family: Bacterial small subunit ribosomal RNA
Source: RNAcentral
UACGAAGGGGGCUAGCGUUGCUCGGGAUGACUGGGCGUAAAGGGCGCGUAGGCGGAUGGUACAGUCAGAUGUGAAAUUCCCGGGCUUAACCUGGGGGCUGCAUUUGAUACGUGCGAUCUGGAGUGAGGAAGAGGGUCGUGGAAUUCCCAGUGUAGAGGUGAAAUUCGUAGAUAUUGGGAAGAACACCGGUGGCGAAGGCGGCGACCUGGUCCUUGACUGACGCUGAGGCGCGAAAGCGUGGGGAGCAAACAGG